UACGAAGGGGGCUAGCGUUGUUCGGAAUUACUGGGCGUAAAGCGCGCGCAGGCGGUUCUUCAAGUCAGAGGUGAAAGCCCAGAGCUCAACUCUGGAAUGGCCUUUGAGACUAGAGAACUAGGGUACGGGAGAGGAAGGCGGAAUGCUUGGUGUAGAGGUGAAAUUCGUAGAUAUCAAGCGGAACACCGGUGGCGAAGGCGGCCUUCUGGACAAUGACUGACGCUAAAACGCGAAAGCGUGGGGAGCAAACAGG
Molecule: ribosomal RNA, 253 nt
Filed under: uncultured bacterium
Lineage: Bacteria
Description: partial 16S ribosomal RNA
Rfam family: Bacterial small subunit ribosomal RNA
Source: RNAcentral